CGGAAUUACUGGGCGUAAAGCGCACGUAGGCGGCUUUGUAAGUUAGAGGUGAAAGCCCGGGGCUCAACCCCGGAAUUGCCUUUAAGACUGCAUCGCUCGAAUCCGGGAGAGGUGAGUGGAAUUCCGAGUGUAGAGGUGAAAUUCGUAGAUAUUCGGAAGAACACCAGUGGCGAAGGCGGCUCACUGGACCGGUAUUGACGCUGAGGUGCGAAAGCGUGGGGAGCAAACAGG
This 231-nucleotide ribosomal RNA is filed under the name uncultured bacterium. RNAcentral describes it as "partial 16S ribosomal RNA". It matches the Rfam family "Bacterial small subunit ribosomal RNA", at positions 546 to 776 of the family's 1533-position model. The record is from RNAcentral.